GUCUGACCUUGAGGGUCUCUGAGUUGGAGGUAUGCUUUGCUUAGGAGAAAUUUCUGCUUUGGUGACAUCUUUCUGGGAACUUAUCACUCCAAAUAGUCCAACAUUUUCCAUAGAAACAUUCUUCCUUCUAUCCCCUCUGUACAAUAAUGAGCUUAUAAGUAGCAGUGCAAAGAGACCAAAGUCCAGAUAUUAGGAACUUUCCAUCAAAGUUCUCACUAUUCCUUCUUCUCUAGAUGUCCUUAACGAUAAAAUUGAGGUAAUCAGUCACAGUUGGGCUGGUGGUGGUGGUUGUGGCUCCUGGGUAUAAAGAGAGACAGGUCCUCUGCAGGGAGGUCUGGAGUCCUUUGGGAAGUCAUCUCUCAACUCUACCUGAAUAAGACAGCAGCCAGCUAUAAGCCUUGAAAAACAGGCACUGGAGUGCUGUGUGUCAGAGUGCCUUUUGCUAGCUGUAGUUAUGCAGCUUCCCUGGCCAGAAACAGGGCUGUAUCAAAGGAAAUCUUGUGGCUUACUCUUCUUCCGUGGAGCAGCAAAACCUGAGCCCAGGGAAUUUUGGUAGGAGAGGAGCUUCCCCAGGAGCACACGUUCUGCACAGCCAGCAAUUAGUAGGUCGCUGUGUAAUUGGCUCACGGUGGGAAGCAAACAGAGCCAGAAGUGUUUUCUUUUAUUGCUCUGAAUGUGCACCGUCCCUUAUUUGUGAAAGAAAAGCGCAGACCUCGGGAACCGCAAACAGACGCGAAGUGCGGCACUUCAUCCAGGCGGACCCCGGGCUCUUCGCAGCGCUGCCGCUGCCUGGUGCUGCACUGCCACCUUCCGUCGCUCCGCGCCGCUCCGCGCACACCUGCGCCGCCGCCCGCCCGCUCCGCGCCGCUCCGCGCCGCCGGGGUCAUUGCGCCGGGAAGGCAAUGCUGCGGGGUUGUUUCGUUGGGAAAGCAGCGUUGCUCCUCACCGGGUGUCGGCUGCUGGGUGAAAGCCAGACUGAAGGAAAAACAUCUGGUGCAGUGGAAACACAGCCGUGCUGUGGCUGCAGCUGGUGAGUGCCCCUCACCAUUUGCUCGCUGGCCCUCCACCUCAGCUCACUGCUUUCAGAAGGGAUACAUUAAAAAAAAAGAAAAGAAAUGCCAACAACCUCAAACUACAGGUCAUGCCAAUAAUACAUUACCAUGGCUACAUCAUGAGAAAAGCUGUAAAAUAAGAGAGGGGAAAGGAGCUUGAUUAUAAAACAAAACUAGCAAACAAAAAACAAAGAAUAAUAACAAAAAAGAAGAAAAAAAAAGAUCAAAACUUAGGCCUGUUUGGGCUACCAGUCCAGCCUGAAGUACACUUUGAAAUGAUGAAUCAGCUGGAGAGAAAAACAUAUUCCAGAUGUUCUCUGUGUCUCCAGUAUUUACUUCAUCAUGUUUUAUCCAGAGGGGUUGUUCCAUGGAAAUAAGUGAUAUAUCAAGUGUGAUCAGUGAGGAGAAAAUAUUGAUCGUAGCAAGUUUAAAAGGGAAGCUAGCAUUGGGCAAGCAGCUCAGAAUGAAACACAGACCCAAACUUUGUCUGCAGCUCAGACCCUGGGUUAUAACUCAAGUCAAGUUGCCACCAGCCUCAGAAAAAUCCCUCUGAGCUGUGGAUGAUGAAAACCGUGGACACACACAAAUGCGAUGAAUGGGCAAAGCUUGUCCCUGGUGCUGCUGGGCUUUGGUGGAGACAGCCUGGGCUGAGCCCCAGGGGCACUGAUUUCUCCCACUGGUACAAUCAGGCCAGUGGUGCCAGUGUGUCUUAGUGAGGCAGCUGCAGAAACAUAUGUGUUCACAGCUGGGUGCUGGCUGCUUUGGAGCAUUGCUGACUGCCCCUUUUGACCAUCCCUGUCCCUCUCCUGCACUUCUCCUUUGGGUCCCAGCCCCACUGUUUGCUAUCAGAGAGCUAUAUACCAAAUCUUCUGCCUCAAGCCCAGUCUAAAGGGCAUCACUGCAAUGAUAAAAGAUGUACAGCCAUCAGAGGUGGCCUAAAUUGCUAAGGUUACCAAAAAUUGGAAUAUGAGCCUAACAGUUCUCCCCCAGGCUGUGCUUCCCUUGAUGGUCUGUCCUAAGCAACUAACAAAAUCCACUUAUUUUCAGAAUAAAUACCUCUAAAGGGGUAUUUAAUUUGCA
Molecule: long non-coding RNA, 2132 nt
Filed under: Phasianus colchicus (ring-necked pheasant)
Lineage: Eukaryota; Metazoa; Chordata; Aves; Galliformes; Phasianidae
Description: lncRNA (ENSPCLG00000009087.1)
Source: RNAcentral